GGCUUCCUCAGGCUUAACAGGCUGUACUCUUAUUCUGCCUUAUAGAAAGAGAAGGCAGAGUAAACCUACCCCAUGCACAUCUCAGCCCAGACUACUGUACUUGGUAUGUUUUGUGAAAGGGGAGACCUUG
Small nucleolar RNA from Apodemus sylvaticus (European woodmouse), 130 nucleotides. RefSeq annotates it as small nucleolar RNA SNORA51. The transcript has a single exon. NCBI's taxonomy places the organism in Eukaryota, Metazoa, Chordata, Mammalia, Rodentia, Muridae. The record is from RefSeq and is a predicted model, not a curated record.